RNAcentral lists this long non-coding RNA (509 nucleotides) under Bos taurus (domestic cattle). RNAcentral describes it as "long non-coding RNA NONBTAT004102". Lineage: Eukaryota; Metazoa; Chordata; Mammalia; Artiodactyla; Bovidae. The record is from RNAcentral.
AGAUUCCUAGACUUGGAGCUCUGCCAACAUCCACGUGUGACCAUUCUCUAGAGUUCUAUGAUUCUUCUAAUAUGGCAAGACUUCUACUUUCAUGUAUUCUCAAACUCUCCCAAUGCUGAAGUGUUCCUGCCUGUUCCAGACUUUUUUUUUCCUCUCACAUACUCAAUUUCACUUGAAAUUCAUCCCACUUUAGUAUAUAGACAGAUAUGUUGUGCAUUGACUCACUAGCAUAGUUUUUCUACCACCAGGCAGCUGCAUAUGUUGGCGUGAUUGAUGAGAGCCGCCACAGUCAAGCAAGCAGCCCUGGGCGGCCAGUUUACCCUUCCCUGCUAGGGUUUCAGCUGCCAGUUGCCCCCAUUCUGUGACAGCUUCUCCUUCUCCUCACCUUGUCAUCAAGCCAAGAUUGUACACUGUGGGAGUACAGGUAGAGUGAUGGCUCCAUCAAUCAAAUACACCCACCAUGAAUUUUCACUUGUGAAUUAAUAAUAAAGAGAAAGAUGAUUGUAAUC